AUGGGCCGGCAGACGGUCGCGUCGCCGCACGCAGGUGCGGUGCCGAGGAACGUCCGGGCUCCACAGAGCAGGGCGGUGGGUAACACCCACCCGGGGCAACCCGCGAGACAGUGCCACAGAAAGUAGACCGCCCCGAGCUUCGGCUCGGGGUAAGGGUGAAACGGUGGUGUAAGAGACCACCAGAGGCUGCGGUGACGCAGUCGGCUCGGUAAACCUCGCCCGGAGCAAGGUCAGACAGGAAGCGCUAACGCUGCUCGCUCAGUUUCCGGGUAGACCGCUGGAGGGCUGCGGCAACGUAGUCCCGAGAUAGAUGGCCGUCAGGGAGUUCACUCCCCCACAGAACCCGGCGUAUCGCCGGCCCGUUCAC
This 367-nucleotide RNase P RNA is filed under the name Herbiconiux aconitum. RNAcentral's name for it is "RNase P RNA component class A". It matches the Rfam family "Bacterial RNase P class A". From Rfam's summary of the family: Ribonuclease P (RNase P) is a ubiquitous endoribonuclease, found in archaea, bacteria and eukarya as well as chloroplasts and mitochondria. Its best characterised activity is the generation of mature 5'-ends of tRNAs by cleaving the 5'-leader elements of precursor-tRNAs. The record is from RNAcentral. Lineage: Bacteria; Bacillati; Actinomycetota; Actinomycetes; Micrococcales; Microbacteriaceae.